Molecule: non-coding RNA, 69 nt
Organism: Streptomyces ipomoeae 91-03
Lineage: Bacteria; Bacillati; Actinomycetota; Actinomycetes; Kitasatosporales; Streptomycetaceae
Rfam family: ASpks TB sRNA
Source: Rfam
CUUCAGCGAGCCCAGCCACAGCGGGGUGUCGCGGUCCUGGCCGUAGGUGGCCAGCAGAGCACCGGCCUC